GCUAACUACGUGCCAGCAGCCGCGGUAAUACGUAGGUGGCAAGCGUUGUCCGGAAUCAUUGGGCGUAAAGAGCGCGUAGGUGGCUUGUCAGGUCUGAUGUGAAAACCUGGGGCUCAACUCCAGGCCUGCAUUAGAAACCGGCUUGCUAGAGUCUGGGAGAGGAGAGUGGAAUUCCUGGUGUAGCGGUGAAAUGCGUAGAUAUCAGGAGGAACACCGGUAGCGAAGGCGGCUCUCUGGAACAGUACUGACGCUGAGGCGCGAAAGCUAGGGGAGCGAACAGGAUUAGAUACCCCUGUAGUC
Molecule: ribosomal RNA, 300 nt
Filed under: uncultured Rubrobacter sp.
Lineage: Bacteria; Bacillati; Actinomycetota; Rubrobacteria; Rubrobacterales; Rubrobacteraceae
Description: bacterial SSU rRNA
Rfam family: Bacterial small subunit ribosomal RNA
Source: RNAcentral